UAACGCUAAAGCACAACACGUCAGCACCGGCAGUAUUGCCAGACCACUGACCUCAGAUCAUCUCUCGUCAGCCGCAGCCGCAGCCGCAGCCGCGACUUCAGCUUCGCCUUGCUUCCCGGCGGCGCGAACGCAUCGAUCCCGCCUCCUCGGCCUCCACCGUCCUUCGCGCCCUUCCCUAGCUCCAGCUGGAAAUCCUCCAUCUCCUACUUGUACAGAGAGGCUGGCGCACCGCGCACGUGAUGAUCUGUCGUUCUGGAGGCGGAGGGGCGACGUCGGAUGCCGCCGUGCCGGUGGGGGAGACGGAAGAUUCGCGCACCUUAUCGCCGCCCGCUGAAGGAACCCCCGAGCGCCCACCAGGUGCUCGACGUAAUGCCGCCGCGCCACCCACGGCAUCCAGUUUUAUAUCCUCCUAACCAGUGACGGAGAAGGUUAGUUUAUAGUAAAGGAGAACCGUACUCCAAUCCCGCCCGAGUUUCACACGGAGGUAGAGCUUCUGCCCCAGCCUCUCUUUUGUUCUGUUCUUCCUGCUGAAAAUCACCUGGGAGCACAGCGUCGCGUCCCAGCCUCCCAGGCGCCAUUGAUGGUUCUUGAAAUCGCAUUGUGUAAAUAAGCCGUGUGGUUGAGAGUCGAUAUACAAUUUCUUUACAUUGGGGAAUUGCACAUGUUUUCUUAGGAUUGGUGGCUACUGCUUUUUUUUUCAUCCUUUGUUUUAUUGCGGUGUCGCCUCAAGAUGUAGCAGCAACGAAGUGAAGAAGUGGAACUGUGCACUAAGUUAGUCGGAUGAGGUCUUCUCGUUUUGUGUAUGACCAGAGAAGACCUUAACAACUUGGAAGAAUCAUUAUAGGAAAAUAAAAAUGAGGGCAUCGGUUGCUAGUUUUUUUUUUCAUUUGCUGCCUUUGUUGUUUCAACAUGCUUUUCUUUGCUACGCAAAUAUGUUAAUUAUUUGGUUGUUCUGCUUUCAUGAACUGUUUGGGGAUUUGGGUAGUGACUUUCUCUUUACCAGUAGAGUACAUGUCCUUGCUGGUCUAAUAACUUAUUUUGUUGGCACGUAUUUAUCAAUGCUGCCAGAAAUUUGUGGCCCAAUAUUGGGCUUUAUAGAUAAAUGAUGUGAAAUAGGGGAAAAAGCUUUUUUUUUUAAAAAAAAAAACUUUCAAAGUUUCUGCUUUAAGUUGGGUACUAUAUGCUGAUAAUGCCUCCUUAUCCUGUUUCUGUAUUCUGUAUAGGAUUUCCAUCCUAACAAUUUGUAUAUGUUCAAACCAUACGAAAUAAUAGAAACCGGAAUGUUAAAAGGCCAUAAUAAACUCCAGAACUACGAGCAAUGUGUUCGUUCCUUUAUUAAGGGCUUUGAUAUCAAAUAUCAUAGCUUCAGAACUAAUUUAUUGAGUUCCUAUUUGAAGCGCAUUGGCACCUGUUUGAAGUACAGAGCAAAAACACUCCAUAUCAAAGAUGAGCUUCAGAUCUAUCGAACAGCUACUUAGGAGGAACAGCAAGACCAAAAUUGCUCGCAAUAUUAUUGAUGGUGUCCAUGACCAGAAGGAAGAGCAGUGUGUGCAAUCCUUGCGGGAGUUACUUCUUGCAAGCAACCAGCUACCGGAGAAGUUUGAUGACUACUAUCUCCUCCUACGCUUUCUGAGAAUGAGAGGCUUCAACAUCUUAAAGGCAAAAGAAAUGUUCUUAAAUAUGUUAAAAUGGCGUGAAGAUUGUUCUGUUGAUGCCAUUGCAAAUGAAUUUAAAUUUGAGGAGUAUGAUGCUGUGAAAAGAUGCUAUCCUCAUGGAUUUCAUGGAGUUGAUAAAUUUGGCAGGCCUCUAUAUAUCGAACGGAUUGGCUUGGUGGAUCUCAGCAAGCUCAUGCAGGUGACAAGUAUUGAUCGAUACAUAAAAUAUCAUAUAUCAGAACAAGAGAAAACUAUGUCUUUGAGAUAUCCUGCUUGCUCAAUUGCGACUAAAAAGCACAUUGCCUCUACAACAGCCAUAUUGGAUGUGAAAGGAUUGGGGAUGAAUAAUUUUUCAAAAUCUGCAAGAGAGAUGUUCAUUGAGAUCCAAAAGAUCGAUAGUAAUUACUAUCCAGAGACAUUAAAUCAACUUUAUACAAUUAAUGCUGGAACUGGCUUUAGAGCACUGUGGAAAGUAUUGAAAGCAUUCAUGGAAGCAAGGACUUUAGCAAAGAUUCAGGUUCUGGGGACCAAUUACCUUAACACAUUAUUAGAAGCUGUUGACCCAAGGUAAAAGUGCAACUAGUCAUGUGCAAUUUUUGCAUCUUUAGUGCCUUGAAUGAUUGCUCCUUUCUGCAGCAAUUUACCAGACUUUUUAGGGGGAACAUGCAAUUGUCCUGCAACAGGAGGAUGCUUGUUCCAAGAUAAAGGACCCUGGACCGACCCAGAAAUGGUUUGUGCUUCUAAGGUAAGGUAGCAUUUGGUAAAGGCCUGAAGUCUUUCAGUGAACUGACUGCUACAAUUGCCUGUGAAAGCUUUGCAGGUUGUCAGGAGCCUUCUGCGAAACAAGUAGAUUCCACUUCUCGUAGGAAAAGAACUCUUGGCAUGUUGUUAAAGGAUGACCAGGAUGGCACUGAUACAAGUGGAAAUAUUCUACGGAAACAGGUCGAUGAACAGAUCUCAGAGAAAAUCCGAGAACUUGAAGACUGUGCUGCUCAGACUAAGGAGACCCUGCAGACACUAAUAUGUAAGCAGCAAGAACUGACGAGCCACAUCGAACAGCUGAGGAGAAUCCUUAGGGACGGCACAAGUGCAGAUAAGCAAACUGAUGUACAAAACUCAAAGUAAAAUUAGUGCUUUCCAAAGCUGGAGAAAGCGAAAAAGGGCAAAAAAAAGAAGUAAUUGUUGUAUCAUUAUAGAGAAGAAAUAGGCACCUUAGAUAUUUUUCAGUGAGGAUUUUCAACACCAAAAUUGCGAAUGCCAUAGUACACCACGAUGAUCUUGGCAAUGCUAUGGACUAAGGUGGUAUGGCAUCCACUCAGAAAUGCUGCCAUGUUCAAUGUUACACAUGUAAUCCACAGUGAUCCAAAUUUGAUGAGUAAAACUGUUCCCUACCAAGACUCAAUUCUUUCU
Panicum virgatum (switchgrass) is the source of this 3065-nucleotide RNA transcript. It is a transcript of the gene named phosphatidylinositol/phosphatidylcholine transfer protein SFH11-like, with no coding region annotated. The transcript is spliced from 11 exons. NCBI's taxonomy places the organism in Eukaryota, Viridiplantae, Streptophyta, Magnoliopsida, Poales, Poaceae. The record is from RefSeq and is a predicted model, not a curated record.